CAGCCGUGAGCCCAGACUCCUGGGCCAACUGGCUGGUGGCCAUGGCCCUGCCCUCUGGCCUUUCUCUGCCCUGACUGCUUGCGGUAAGAAGCUGCCUCAUCACAUCAGUGGGACUCAGGGCUUUGUCCCAGGGUCCCCAGCAGGCUACACAUGGCUGGAAGAAACCUGACGUCCGCAGCUCGAGCCGGGAUGUGGGCUAAAAGGAACCCUUGACGCCGCUGCUCGACAUUUGGCAAGUGCUCGGAAAUGGACAGAAACCCACUGUCGCUCUGCUCCUGCACCUUGAGAACAAAAUAGCCUAAAAGGGACCAAAAAGCUUCAGGAGCAGGAACCCUGGACAGUGGGGUCCAGAGGGAGCGUGCCAGGGUCCACGCCCUCCCGUCAUGCCUGCGUAGACCGCAGGGCCCUGGGGCCUCCAGGCUCCCCCAGGUGCAGGAGAAGAUGGGGAGACUGCGUCGCUCUGAGGUGCUGCCUGUCCCCACGUGAGACCACAAUGCCACCACAGCAAGAACCUCCACAUACAGGACAGUGAGGGCAGAGCUCAGCCCAGGGCAGGGGCGCUCUGCAGCGGGAGCUGGGUCAGCUCUGGGGGUCUGCCCUCAGGGUCUUCUUCAUGUUGUCCUGAGAACCCCCCAGAGUCUCCACCAAGACUUGACUCUUGUCCCUUCAAGGGGGGUCAGCAAUCCCAGACAGGGCAGGGGACGCGGACAAGGAGCUCAUGCCGCGAGCCUUCUUCGAUGUGUCCGGGUGAGAACAUGGCUCUGGGCUUGCCCCAAGCAGGACACAGAGCUGACUGGAGCACACGGCCACCCCACCCUGCAGAAGGGGCCCUCAGGACAGGUCCAGGCACCGGAAACUUGCAAGGACGUGGCUCCUCUGGGUGCCAGUCUCCAUGUCUGGGUGCUGGGGCAGGACUAGGAGAAGCCCCAGCUCGCAAAGAAAGCCCACGUCUGCAUUACAAAGCCAGGGUACUCCACGUCCCAGGUGCCGACCCCCAGAGACCUGGGCGUCCACCCUGCAAAUGUCCUCCAGGCGGUUUCACAGGAGACAGAAGGCGGAGGAGGACCGAAGCCCCGCCCCCCGCCCCAGAAACAGCCUCCAGGAAGACCCUCCCUGGUGGGCCAACUUGUCACAGCUUCGGUCCUCCUAAGCUCUCAAGAAGGCUGACCUUCCCAUCACCUUGCCCCGGAGUCACCUGUGGUUCCUACUUGCUGGCUCACUGGAGCAGGUGAAGAAAAAUCCCACAGACCAGGAUUUUUAAAAGAGAAACUGUCAACGGAAAAAAUCGCUCCUAUACAUGGUGUUUUACUGGGUUUAAUCUUGAGUCCAAAGGCUUUCUUUCUGCCCUGGGAGCCAACUCUCACUGCAGCCCUGGACGGCAAGAGCCGCCCUUUCUCCCCACAUCAAACAGCCCCACAAGCCGCAGACAGCACAGGGGCCUGGGGAUGCCCCAGGGCAGGAGCAGCUCCGAGGUCUGCAGGCCUGGAAAAGCGGCAGAAGGGAGCCCCACACGAAACCCAGGAGCCUGGCCGCGCGGGGCUCCGGAGGCUGCGCCCCGCCGGCGGGGACCGUGUCACCCUCGGCAACCGCCACAGCGGCUCCGGGCCCGGCCAGGCUCGCAGUCCACGCCUCGCCCUGCCUGACCCGAAGGCCUGGCUCCCGGGGGGGCUGGCCGCGGGGCGGGGAAGACGGCAGACCCAGCGGAGACCCCGACCCCGGCGAACGCCGGCGUCGCGCUCCGUCCCGGGAGGCAGGCGGGUCCCGCAGUCUCCGCGAACCGGGCGGGGGGCCAGCCGCAGGGGAAGUCGCGGCGGGGCGACGACCUCGAGACCCAUCGAGCCCCGGGCGUCUUACCGAUCUUGGCCAAGCUGGCCACGAGGAUCCACAGCGCGAUGAUGUACGGGUCCUGGACAUGGAGCCACUCGAAGGUGACCACCUGGAAACCCUG
Mustela lutreola (European mink) is the source of this 1948-nucleotide long non-coding RNA. RefSeq lists it as uncharacterized. Lineage: Eukaryota; Metazoa; Chordata; Mammalia; Carnivora; Mustelidae. The record is from RefSeq and is a predicted model, not a curated record. The transcript has 4 exons.